CGCUUGUGGGUUAGCUAGAAAGCUUUCCGUCUUCGGGGAAAGAAAUCAAGUACAGCCACACAGCUCAACCAGCAGGGGGCACACGCGAGUCAGUCACAGUAUUGGGAGCAUUAUGGUGUCAUAGAGGAUCAGAACCUUGGCACUGGGAAGUAACUAUUUAAGUCAGAGGACUUUGGCUCCUGAUAGUCAUGGACUCACUAGGCUGCUAAGGAGCACCCUUCAUCUACACUUAAGGGGAGAAGCCAACUAUGGGAACUGUGAAUUAAAAGUCUGAAGAGAAACUUGUGGCCAGACCAGGUAUCACCAAGAAGACUUUUCUUGACCUUCAAAUCUAAGGACAAUGUGUGACCAGCCAAAAUGCAACCAGAGCUGUCCGUCAAAACCGAGCUGCCCACAACCCCCCCCAUGCUGCGCACAGAAGCCCCCUUGCUGCGCACAGAAGCCCCCUUGCUGCGCACAGAAGCCCUCCUGCUGCGCACAGACAUCUCCAUGCUGCCCGCAAAAACCAUGCUGCCAACAGAAAGCUCCAUGCUGCCCGCAAAAACCAUGCUGCCAACAGAAAGCUCCAUGCUGCAUCCAGCCGCAGUGCUGUGAUGUGAAGCCCAAGUCUGAGGAUACUUGCCCUGGGAAAGAUUCUGAACCCCCAGCACCGCAAACUGAAGAGCGGCUCAGAAGUCCACAAAGCACAGCCAAGCCAGGCACAGAGAGGCAGAUAAAACCCAGCAAGUCUUCACCACCACGGGAACCUCCAUGAGCCAUGUAAGAGGAGACCCGUCCCUUCACUGUCUCCAUGACUGAGAUGAACUGCUUAGGAAGGCCCAGGGACCAGAAGAAAUGCCAGCAAUACAGUAGGGUCCCAACUAAGGUGCACAGGAUGGGCAGGUAAGACUAGUGUGAAAAGUCAAAAGUAAUAGUAACAGUAUGAGCAGC
This 930-nucleotide long non-coding RNA is filed under the name Chinchilla lanigera (long-tailed chinchilla). Its description in RNAcentral is "lncRNA (ENSCLAG00000022820.1)". The record is from RNAcentral. Lineage: Eukaryota; Metazoa; Chordata; Mammalia; Rodentia; Chinchillidae.